AGUGAACGCUGGCGGUAGGCCUAACACAUGCAAGUCGAACGGCAGCACAGUAAGAGCUUGCUCUUACGGGUGGCGAGUGGCGGACGGGUGAGGAAUACAUCGGAAUCUACUUUUUCGUGGGGGAUAACGUAGGGAAACUUACGCUAAUACCGCAUACGACCUACGGGUGAAAGCAGGGGAUCUUCGGACCUUGCGCGAUUGAAUGAGCCGAUUUCGGAUUAGCUGGUUGGCGGGGUAAAGGCCCACCAAGGCGACGAUCCGUAGCUGGUCUGAGAGGAUGAUCAGCCACACUGGAACCGAGACACGGUCCAGACUCCUACGGGAGGCAGCAGUGGGGAAUAUUGGACAAUGGGCGAAAGCCUGAUCCAGCCAUACCGCGUGGGUGAAGAAGGCCUUCGGGUUGUAAAGCCCUUUUGUUGGGAAAGAAAAGCAGCAGGUUAAUACCCCGCUGUUCUGACGGUACCCAAAGAAUAAGCACCGGCUAACUUCGUG
RNAcentral lists this ribosomal RNA (492 nucleotides) under uncultured bacterium. RNAcentral's name for it is "partial 16S ribosomal RNA". It matches the Rfam family "Bacterial small subunit ribosomal RNA", at positions 29 to 507 of the family's 1533-position model. The record is from RNAcentral.